RNAcentral lists this ribosomal RNA (497 nucleotides) under uncultured bacterium. RNAcentral describes it as "partial 16S ribosomal RNA". It matches the Rfam family "Bacterial small subunit ribosomal RNA", at positions 28 to 507 of the family's 1533-position model. The record is from RNAcentral.
GAUGAACGCUGGCGGCGUGCCUAAUACAUGCAAGUCGAGCGAACAGACGAGGAGCUUGCUCCUCUGACGUUAGCGGCGGACGGGGGAGUAACACGUGGAUAACCUACCUAUAAGACUGGGAUAACUUCGGGAAACCGGAGCUAAUACCGGAUAAUAUAUUGAACCGCAUGGUUCAAUAGUGAAAGACGGUUUUGCUGUCACUUAUAAAUGGAUCCGCGCCGCAUUAGCUAGUUGGUAAGGUAACGGCUUACCAAGGCAACGAUGCGUAGCCGACCUGAGAGGGUGAUCGGCCACACUGGAACUGAGACACGGUCCAGACUCCUACGGGAGGCAGCAGUAGGGAAUCUUCCGCAAUGGGCGAAAGCCUGACGGAGCAACGCCGCGUGAGUGAUGAAGGUCUUCGGAUCGUAAAACUCUGUUAUUAGGGAAGAACAAAUGUGUAAGUAACUAUGCACGUCUUGACGGUACCUAAUCAGAAAGCCACGGCUAACUACGUG